UACAGAGGGGGCAAGCGUUGUUCGGAAUUACUGGGCGUAAAGGGCGCGUAGGCGGCCCGCUAAGUCGAACGUGAAAUCCCCGAGCUCAACUCGGGAACUGCGUCCGAUACUGGCGGGCUUGAAUCCGGGAGAGGGAUGCGGAAUUCCAGGUGUAGCGGUGAAAUGCGUAGAUAUCUGGAGGAACACCUAUGGCGAAGGCAGCUCGCUGGGACGUUACUGACGCUGAGACGCGAAAGCGUGGGGAGCAAACAGG
RNAcentral lists this ribosomal RNA (253 nucleotides) under uncultured bacterium. RNAcentral describes it as "partial 16S ribosomal RNA". It matches the Rfam family "Bacterial small subunit ribosomal RNA", at positions 524 to 776 of the family's 1533-position model. The record is from RNAcentral.